RNAcentral lists this ribosomal RNA (207 nucleotides) under uncultured bacterium. Its description in RNAcentral is "partial 16S ribosomal RNA". It matches the Rfam family "Bacterial small subunit ribosomal RNA", at positions 568 to 774 of the family's 1533-position model. The record is from RNAcentral.
AGCGUAGACGGCGGAGCAAGUCUGAAGUGAAAGCCCGGGGCUCAACCCCGGGACUGCUUUGGAAACUGUUCUGCUAGAGUGCUGGAGAGGUAAGUGGAAUUCCUAGUGUAGCGGUGAAAUGCGUAGAUAUUAGGAGGAACACCGGUGGCGAAGGCGACUUACUGGACUGUAACUGACGCUGAGUCACGAAAGCGUGGGGAGCGAACA